This 2058-nucleotide ribosomal RNA is filed under the name Escherichia coli. RNAcentral's name for it is "partial 23S ribosomal RNA". It matches the Rfam family "Bacterial large subunit ribosomal RNA", at positions 890 to 2925 of the family's 2925-position model. The record is from RNAcentral. Lineage: Bacteria; Pseudomonadati; Pseudomonadota; Gammaproteobacteria; Enterobacterales; Enterobacteriaceae.
UCAUCUCCGGGGGUAGAGCACUGUUUCGGCAAGGGGGUCAUCCCGACUUACCAACCCGAUGCAAACUGCGAAUACCGGAGAAUGUUAUCACGGGAGACACACGGCGGGUGCUAACGUCCGUCGUGAAGAGGGAAACAACCCAGACCGCCAGCUAAGGUCCCAAAGUCAUGGUUAAGUGGGAAACGAUGUGGGAAGGCCCAGACAGCCAGGAUGUUGGCUUAGAAGCAGCCAUCAUUUAAAGAAAGCGUAAUAGCUCACUGGUCGAGUCGGCCUGCGCGGAAGAUGUAACGGGGCUAAACCAUGCACCGAAGCUGCGGCAGCGACGCUGAUGCGUUGUUGGGUAGGGGAGCGUUCUGUAAGCCUGUGAAGGUGUACUGUGAGGUAUGCUGGAGGUAUCAGAAGUGCGAAUGCUGACAUAAGUAACGAUAAAGCGGGUGAAAAGCCCGCUCGCCGGAAGACCAAGGGUUCCUGUCCAACGUUAAUCGGGGCAGGGUGAGUCGACCCCUAAGGCGAGGCCGAAAGGCGUAGUCGAUGGGAAACAGGUUAAUAUUCCUGUACUUGGUGUUACUGCGAAGGGGGGACGGAGAAGGCUAUGUUGGCCGGGCGACGGUUGUCCCGGUUUAAGCGUGUAGGCUGGUUUUCCAGGCAAAUCCGGAAAAUCAAGGCUGAGGCGUGAUGACGAGGCACUACGGUGCUGAAGCAACAAAUGCCCUGCUUCCAGGAAAAGCCUCUAAGCAUCAGGUAACAUCAAAUCGUACCCCAAACCGACACAGGUGGUCAGGUAGAGAAUACCAAGGCGCUUGAGAGAACUCGGGUGAAGGAACUAGGCAAAAUGGUGCCGUAACUUCGGGAGAAGGCACGCUGAUAUGUAGGUGAAGCGACUUGCUCGUGGAGCUGAAAUCAGUCGAAGAUACCAGCUGGCUGCAACUGUUUAUUAAAAACACAGCACUGUGCAAACACGAAAGUGGACGUAUACGGUGUGACGCCUGCCCGGUGCCGGAAGGUUAAUUGAUGGGGUCAGCGCAAGCGAAGCUCUUGAUCGAAGCCCCGGUAAACGGCGGCCGUAACUAUAACGGUCCUAAGGUAGCGAAAUUCCUUGUCGGGUAAGUUCCGACCUGCACGAAUGGCGUAAUGAUGGCCAGGCUGUCUCCACCCGAGACUCAGUGAAAUUGAACUCGCUGUGAAGAUGCAGUGUACCCGCGGCAAGACGGAAAGACCCCGUGAACCUUUACUAUAGCUUGACACUGAACAUUGAGCCUUGAUGUGUAGGAUAGGUGGGAGGCUUUGAAGUGUGGACGCCAGUCUGCAUGGAGCCGACCUUGAAAUACCACCCUUUAAUGUUUGAUGUUCUAACGUUGACCCGUAAUCCGGGUUGCGGACAGUGUCUGGUGGGUAGUUUGACUGGGGCGGUCUCCUCCUAAAGAGUAACGGAGGAGCACGAAGGUUGGCUAAUCCUGGUCGGACAUCAGGAGGUUAGUGCAAUGGCAUAAGCCAGCUUGACUGCGAGCGUGACGGCGCGAGCAGGUGCGAAAGCAGGUCAUAGUGAUCCGGUGGUUCUGAAUGGAAGGGCCAUCGCUCAACGGAUAAAAGGUACUCCGGGGAUAACAGGCUGAUACCGCCCAAGAGUUCAUAUCGACGGCGGUGUUUGGCACCUCGAUGUCGGCUCAUCACAUCCUGGGGCUGAAGUAGGUCCCAAGGGUAUGGCUGUUCGCCAUUUAAAGUGGUACGCGAGCUGGGUUUAGAACGUCGUGAGACAGUUCGGUCCCUAUCUGCCGUGGGCGCUGGAGAACUGAGGGGGGCUGCUCCUAGUACGAGAGGACCGGAGUGGACGCAUCACUGGUGUUCGGGUUGUCAUGCCAAUGGCACUGCCCGGUAGCUAAAUGCGGAAGAGAUAAGUGCUGAAAGCAUCUAAGCACGAAACUUGCCCCGAGAUGAGUUCUCCCUGACUCCUUGAGAGUCCUGAAGGAACGUUGAAGACGACGACGUUGAUAGGCCGGGUGUGUAAGCGCAGCGAUGCGUUGAGCUAACCGGUACUAAUGAACCGUGAGGCUUAACCUU